RNAcentral lists this microRNA precursor (63 nucleotides) under Panagrellus redivivus. RNAcentral's name for it is "microRNA prd-mir-7876 precursor". The record is from miRBase by way of RNAcentral. Lineage: Eukaryota; Metazoa; Nematoda; Chromadorea; Rhabditida; Panagrolaimidae.
AAUGCAUUCUUUGGGCUGCCUCCGUUAAUAUUGAUCAUCGGUGGCACUCUUAGAAUGCAUGGC